AACGAACGCUGGCGGCAGGCCUAACACAUGCAAGUCGAGCGCCCUAGCAAUAGGGAGUGGCAGACGGGGUGAGUAACACGUGGGAACCUUCCCUAUAGUACGGAAUAGCUCAGGGAAACUUGAAGUAAUUCCGUAUACGCCCGAGAGGGGAAAGAUUUAUCGCUAUAGGAUGGGCCCGCGUCGGAUUAGCUAGUUGGUGAGGUAAUGGCUCACCAAGGCGACGAUCCGUAGCUGGUUUGAGAGAACGACCAGCCACACUGGGACUGAGACACGGCCCAGACUCCUACGGGAGGCAGCAGUGGGGAAUAUUGGACAAAGGGCGCAAGCCUGAUCCAGCCAUGCCGCGUGAGUGAUGAAGGCCUUAGGGUUGUAAAGCUCUUUUAGCAGGGAAGAUAAUGACUGUACCUGCAGAAUAAGCUCCGGCUAACUUCGUGCCAGCAGCCGCGGUAAU
Molecule: ribosomal RNA, 451 nt
Filed under: uncultured bacterium
Lineage: Bacteria
Description: bacterial SSU rRNA
Rfam family: Bacterial small subunit ribosomal RNA
Source: RNAcentral